Molecule: ribosomal RNA, 253 nt
Filed under: uncultured bacterium
Lineage: Bacteria
Description: partial 16S ribosomal RNA
Rfam family: Bacterial small subunit ribosomal RNA
Source: RNAcentral
UACAGAGGGGGCAAGCGUUAUUCGGAAUUAUUGGGCGUAAAGGGCGCGUAGGCGGCUUUGCAAGUGACGGGUGAAAUCCCUCGGCUUAACCGAGGAACUGCCUGUCAGACUGCAUGGCUUGAGACCGGGAGAGGUGAGUGGAAUUCCCAGUGUAGCGGUGAAAUGCGUAGAUAUUGGGAGGAACACCAGUGGCGAAGGCGGCUCACUGGACCGGUACUGACGCUGAGGUGCGAAAGCGUGGGGAGCAAACAGG